This 253-nucleotide ribosomal RNA is filed under the name uncultured bacterium. RNAcentral describes it as "partial 16S ribosomal RNA". It matches the Rfam family "Bacterial small subunit ribosomal RNA", at positions 524 to 776 of the family's 1533-position model. The record is from RNAcentral.
UACGUAGGUGGCAAGCGUUAUCCGGAUUUAUUGGGUGUAAAGGGCGUGUAGGCGGGAGCGCAAGUCAGAUGUGAAAACUCAGGGCUCAACCCUGAGCCUGCAUUUGAAACUGUGUUUCCUGAGUGCUGGAGAGGCAAUCGGAAUUCCGUGUGUAGCGGUGAAAUGCGUAGAUAUACGGAGGAACACCAGUGGCGAAGGCGGAUUGCUGGACAGUAACUGACGCUGAGGCGCGAAAGCGUGGGGAGCAAACAGG